RNAcentral lists this transfer RNA (73 nucleotides) under Stegodyphus mimosarum. It matches the Rfam family "tRNA". From Rfam's summary of the family: Transfer RNA (tRNA) molecules are approximately 80 nucleotides in length. Their secondary structure includes four short double-helical elements and three loops (D, anti-codon, and T loops). The record is from Rfam by way of RNAcentral. Lineage: Eukaryota; Metazoa; Arthropoda; Arachnida; Araneae; Eresidae.
GGUUCCGUGAUGUAGUGGUUAUCACGUCUGCCUUCCACGUAGAAGGUCACCGGUUCGACCCCGGCCAGAACCA